CAACUCACGGAGACCCUGUGGGGGCUGGGGCCCAACAUCUCUCCCAACAGGCUCGUGGUUUGGAGACUUCUGUCUAUGGUCAGCUGGCUCUGUGGAUUCUAGGCUAGAUGAGAGAGUGGUGACCUUCUGAAACAUUAGCAGCAGGGGAGCACCAAUGACAUCGAAGGAAGAUUUAUCUGGUGGUGCUGUUGGAGACAGGCUGCAGCUAGGACACAUAAGAUCUGAUUUGAAAAAGUUGAUAGGAUGAAGGCCAAGAGUGAAGAAGCACUUGGGGGAUGUGAGAAGGAUGGUAUAGAAUCCCUGACAUUUGACAUUCAACUUUAGAAGCUCAUGUUAGUUCUUCACAUCUUGCUUCUCUGUUCCUCACCGUCAUGUUUGUUGGCAACUUCCUGAGCAGGGUUUCUCUGUGGCUUUGGAGGCUGUCCUGGAACUAGCUCUUGUAGACCAGGCUGGUCUUGAACUCACAGAGAUCUGCCUGUCUCUGCCUCCCAAGUGCUGGAUUAAAGGCAUGUACCACCAAUCCCCGGCUUGGAGCAUGAGUGACUUAAAGACACCUAUGUGAACAAAAGUCCAAAGCUAGAAACCUGGAGCUCUCUGAAAGACUUGGAGGCAGCUCAUCAGUAGGUCAGGUCAGUUGUUUCUGUGGGUUUCUCCAGCACCGUCUUGGCUCCUUUGCUCAUCCCUCCUUCCUCUCCACAACUGGAUUCCAGGAGUAUGGUUCAGUGCUUAGCUGUGGGUACCUGUUUCUGCUUUGAACAGCUACUGGAUGAAGACUCUAGGAAUGGUAACCAAG
This 793-nucleotide long non-coding RNA is filed under the name Cricetulus griseus (Chinese hamster). RNAcentral describes it as "lncRNA (ENSCGRG00015038620.1)". Lineage: Eukaryota; Metazoa; Chordata; Mammalia; Rodentia; Cricetidae. The record is from RNAcentral.